This 253-nucleotide ribosomal RNA is filed under the name uncultured bacterium. RNAcentral's name for it is "partial 16S ribosomal RNA". It matches the Rfam family "Bacterial small subunit ribosomal RNA", at positions 524 to 776 of the family's 1533-position model. The record is from RNAcentral.
UACGAAGGGGGCUAGCGUUGUUCGGAAUCACUGGGCGUAAAGCGCACGUAGGCGGAUCUUUAAGUCAGGGGUGAAAUCCCGAGGCUCAACCUCGGAACUGCCUUUGAUACUGGGGAUCUCGAGUCCGGAAGAGGUGAGUGGAAUUCCGAGUGUAGAGGUGAAAUUCGUAGAUAUUCGGAGGAACACCAGUGGCGAAGGCGGCUCACUGGUCCGGUACUGACGCUGAGGUGCGAAAGCGUGGGGAGCAAACAGG